CAAUAGCGUAUAUUUAAGUUGCUGCAGUUAAAAAGCUCGUAGUUGGUUUUCGGGUGGGAAUGGCCGGUCCGCCGUUUCGGUGUGCACUUGCUACGCCCACCUUGCUGCCGGGGACGUGCUCUUGAGUUCACGCUCGGGACACGGAGUCGGCGAGGUUACUUUGAGUAAAUUAGAGUGUUCAAAGCAGGCCUACGCUCUGAAUACAUUAGCAUGGAAUAACACGAUAGGACUCUGGCCUAUCUUGUUGGUCUGUAGGACCGGAGUAAUGAUUAAGAGGGACAGUCGGGGGCAUUCGUAUUUCAUUGUCAGAGGUGAAAUUCUUGGAUUUAUGAAAGACGAACUACUGCGAAAGCAUUUGCCAAGGAUGUUUUCAUUAA
This 377-nucleotide ribosomal RNA is filed under the name uncultured eukaryote. RNAcentral describes it as "partial 18S ribosomal RNA". It matches the Rfam family "Eukaryotic small subunit ribosomal RNA", at positions 592 to 976 of the family's 1831-position model. The record is from RNAcentral.